GAUGAACGCUGGCGGCGUGCCUAAUACAUGCAAGUCGAGCGAACAGACGAGGAGCUUGCUCCUCUGACGUUAGCGGCGGACGGGUGAGUAACACGUGGAUAACCUACCUAUAAGACUGGGAUAACUUCGGGAAACCGGAGCUACUACCGGAUAAUAUAUUGAACCGCAUGGUUCAAUAUUGAAAGACGGUUUUGCUGUCACUUAUAGCUGGAUCCGCGCCGCAUUAGCUAGUUGGUAAGGUAACGGCUUACCAAGGCAACGAUGCGUAGCCGACCUGAGAGGGUGAUCGGCCACACUGGAACUGAGACACGGUCCAGACUCCUACGGGAGGCAGCAGUAGGGAAUCUUCCGCAAUGGGCGAAAGCCUGACGGAGCAACGCCGCGUGAGUGAUGAAGGUCUUCGGAUCGUAAAACUCUGUUAUUAGGGAAGAACAAAUGUGUAAGUAACUAUGCACGUCUUGACGGUACCUAAUCAGAAAGCCACGGCUAACUACGUG
Molecule: ribosomal RNA, 497 nt
Filed under: uncultured bacterium
Lineage: Bacteria
Description: partial 16S ribosomal RNA
Rfam family: Bacterial small subunit ribosomal RNA
Source: RNAcentral